Molecule: ribosomal RNA, 692 nt
Filed under: uncultured bacterium
Lineage: Bacteria
Description: bacterial SSU rRNA
Rfam family: Bacterial small subunit ribosomal RNA
Source: RNAcentral
GGCGGUAUGCCUAAGACAUGCAAGUCGCGCGGUUUAGCAAUAAACAGCGGCGGACGGGUGAGUAACACGUAGCUGACCUGCCCUGUAGUAGGGGAAAACCAGGGGAAACUCUGGCUAAUCCACUAUGUGAACAACUUUUAUGUAAGUUGUUUAAAGCUUCGGCGCUAUAGGAUGGGGCUGCGGUGCAUCAGGUAGUUGGUGGGGUAAAGGCCCACCAAGCCGACGACGCAUAGCUGGUCUGAGAGGACGACCAGCCACAGGGGUACUGAGACACGGACCCCACCUCUACGGAAGGCAGCAGUUAGGAAUCUUCCCCAAUGGGCGAAAGCCUGAGGGAGCGAUACCGCUUGAAGGACGAAGCCCCUCGGGGUGUAAACUUCUGAACUAGGGACGAUAAUGACGGUACCUAGGUAAUAGCACCGGCUAACUCCGUGCCAGCAGCCGCGGUAAUACGGAGGGUGCGAGCGUUACCCGGAUUUACUGGGUGUAAAGGGCGUGUAGGCGGUUAUUCAAGUCCGAUGCUAAAGACUGAGGCUCAACCUCAGGAGUGCGUUGGAUACUGGAUGACUAGACGGUCGGAGAGGGUAGCGGAAUUUCCUGAGUAGCGGUGAAAUGCGCAGAUACAGGAAGGAACGCCAAUAGCGAAAGCAGCUACCUGGACGAUUUGUGACGCUGAGGCGCGAAAGCGUGGG